AGCCAUUAGUCAUGUUCUCUAUAAUACCAGCACUUCUGGGCCUGGAACGGUAGAGAUUUGAUCACAGUUUAAAGCUUGUGUGUGUGUGUGCGUGAGUGCGCGUGUGUGUAUAUGGGAAGUAGGGGCAAAUUUUAACAAAAUUCCACCUGGCUGCUUUUGAGCUUCCAAGUUUGAGAGAAGAAAAUUGGUGUUGGCAUGCUAAGACUUUCCAAUGUUUCAACUAAGAUAUCACCUUCUGCUAGAAGACAAUUCUGAUCCGCUUUAAGGUCUCAGCUUCCUGGAGAAAUUGGACUUCAAAAGUUCUUCCCCUUAUAAAUCUUGCAAUCCCACCUAAGGAUAGGAACACAACAGAACAACUCAUGUUGACUUUGCUUCCAUUUCUCUACCAAAAGAAACAAUCUGUUAACUCUGAAAAGUAAAACAAAACAAAACAAAACCAAAAAAAAGGAUAAUAAGCAAGCUGAUGCCUGAGAAAAAUAUACAUGAUCCAGGACAACUCCAAAGGACUCAUUACAAAAAAAGGAUAUCCACUGCCAUAAAGGAACAGAUGGAGUCCAAAAGCAGACUGAAACAUACCAUUCUUCACUUUAUUUCCUCUUUGAAUUUUUCUCUGUUGUAAGCAAUAUGCAUCUUGUUUCACAACAUGACAAAUAUAGAAUAUGUAUUAUAUGAUAAUAUAUGUACAACCUAUAUCAUAUUACCUGC
This 705-nucleotide long non-coding RNA is filed under the name Monodelphis domestica (gray short-tailed opossum). Its description in RNAcentral is "lncRNA (ENSMODG00000034613.2)". The record is from RNAcentral. Lineage: Eukaryota; Metazoa; Chordata; Mammalia; Didelphimorphia; Didelphidae.